Molecule: non-coding RNA, 2636 nt
Organism: Aegilops tauschii subsp. strangulata
Lineage: Eukaryota; Viridiplantae; Streptophyta; Magnoliopsida; Poales; Poaceae
Source: RefSeq, a predicted model, not a curated record
AUAAUCACAUUGAAGUUCAUCACAACAUUCACAUUCUUAGUGUUGUUAUCAUAUCAUAUAUCAUAUAUCUCUUCAGUGUUUGAUCACAAUUUAGAUAAUUGAUCUGAUGUUGCUCAUCUUUCAGUACACGUAUUUUAAAAUUUAUGUUUAGUACUAGAAUUAUGUUUUCAAUUCAGUUUCACAUCAUCAUGUCACUAUAAAUUUCAACAUGGUAUGCUUGCUCGCUUAGACUAGACAACUUUAUGAAAAUGCGGUAUCGGCAUCAGUAUGCUGCCAUUGAUCGUAUUGCCAAGCUUUUUUGUACAUCAUCUGACACAACAUCAUAUAGUCAAUAUGAUGCCCUAUGCACACUGCCCAUUAACUGAAUUACUAGAAUGUUCAUUGUUUUCUUCCAUGUGUAUCCCUUGGGGUGUGGUUCUUAUGAACACUUAUUUGCAGGUUUAUGGAUUCCUUCUAGAGUUUGAGAAAUUUUAAUGAGAAUUUGUUUGACAGAAACGCGAGGAGGGGCCAUUAGGACAAAUUUUUACGUAUAAGAGAUCUUGGGCAGACUGGAACCUAUGGACCAAAACUGGGGCAAGAGUUCAGUAGCUUUGCUGUUGUUGUUCUGGAACUCUUUAUGUCGUGAAAUAGCUAGGGAAAUUGCAUUGGUGCACUUUGUAUAAUUUGGGGUCCUCAGAUCAAGACAAUAUUGUAAGAAAACGCACCUUAAGGUUUGCAUCAUUUGUAUUAAGGUUGUUCCUUAUUUCAAACGAACAUGCUUUAGGUGUUUUUACAGAUGUGCUCCUGCUUCUAUCUACUGAUCAAAUGACUUUCUAUUUCAUUGUUUUCUGCCAAUAUAUUAUUCAGGAGUAAUGAGUGAUAAGAAUAAGAUAAGCCAGUCAUGAGUGUGAAGUGGCAAGAUAGUUUGUAAAUUCAGAAUCUUCAUUGCAAGUAAACGAACUGAUGUUUUUUGCCCACACAUUGCUCAAUGAUAAUUUAUACCAUGUCUUUAAUUUACUAGAUGAACUGCACACCUGAACGCAUCACUAGUGGAAAGAUUCAGCAUCUUGGUCGGCUGCUUGCGGCGGGGCUUGUGGCUGGUGGUUGCGGCAGUGGCAGAGCAGUGUCCGAGAGCGCGGCGCAAGCAGUGGCCCCUACUAUGUGGGCUGAUGGGAGCACACCAUCCAAGCAGCACUUCCAAGUAUGACAAUGUCCGCUCUACACCAAGGUACGUGGGCACUCGUGCAAAGAUCUAACAUCUUCACCGACUAGGACUAAGUUUAGCUCUCCAUAUGGUGCCCAUUUUUUUACGGGUAAGGCAAGAGCUCUGCCAAUUCAUUAAAGUUGAGGGGAAACUGUAAAGAAGGCAUAAAAAGAAGAAGGAAAAGCGCCACAAAAUAAAUGGAGGUUUAAAUACUGGAUGAGAUUUUCAUUGCUGGCAUUCUUCAUGAACCUGUCAAGGAGAACAUUUCAAUACUAAUUGUUGCAAAGGUGUUCUCACCACUGGCUAGCAAGAAGAGAGUAUGAUUUUUCAGUGCUCAUUGUUGUAAGCUUGAUUCACAAGGAGCUUCUCAAUGUUGUACAUGUAGUUUGUGAGUAACAGAAAUAAAACCUAUUUCUUCAUUCUUGUCUUGUACCUCCGUUUCAACUCCCCCAAACCAGUAGAGUUCAGUUACGUGUUUCAAUAUUAGGAAGUCAUCAUCUUCUAAAACAAAUUUUGUUACCUACUCAAACAUAUUUUAUUCCCGUGUUUCUUAUAAAUUUUGUAUAAAAACAUGUGUACAAUAGAACCUGUACAACCUGCAUUGGAGCAUGCUCAUUUGCUCUGUCCAUUUCUUCUAAAGAGUCCAGAUUCCUAAGCAUUCAUAAAUACGAUUUAGUGUGCUCUAAUACAUUACCGGAAUCAGAUGAUAUAUUUUCUGUGCGAAUUCGUUGACACAGUUCCUUACAAAAGUUGUAUCUUCGAAAAGGACAAACAACUCUAUGUAAUCCUAUCAUCCAUUCUGAUUUUGAGCCAAGUAUACCCAUUAUCUUUUUCCUUCUAGCAAGGUACCAUAGACAUGUUAUGAAAUUCUCCUUUGCCUUCUAGGUGAACCAAAUAGGCAUCUUUUUAACAAAUGGAGGGAAUUCGUUUGUCAAUAAAAAUAAAUUUUUCACAGGAGAUGUUGUCUUAUUUCUUCAAGUAUAAGCAAAUGAACAUUGUGAUGAAGUUAAAAACUUUCUAUCCUUAUUCCUCUUAUUCAUUGUGUGUUAUCCCGAUUUAUACAUGUAACAAUGAUGAAUGAUGAUGAACUUAGACUUAGUGUAAGCAGAGCCAAUCUGUUUCGUUGAACAAACCAGCUCUCUAUCCUUAUUUCUCCUAAAAGCUUUCAGACGAUACUCACACCAUAUGAUUCCUUGAAACAUAGUAGUAUUUUUCACAUCUAUUACAAUCCAAGGUUUUUUUAGUUAAUAUUAUUCUUUAUAUUUGUAAGUAGUAUAAAGUUGCACCAAAACUGGUAAUAUGAUUUUGGAUGAUAUAUUAUGAUGCUGACAAGGAGGUUAUUGGUGCUGAAUAAAAUAGCAGUAUGAAAUAACCUUGCAAAUAUUUGUUGGCUUUUAGUUUGAGCCUUUCAACUCAACUGAAAUUUUUAUUUGUAUAGUCUUUUACCUCUGGU